GGGCCCGCACAAGCGGUGGAGCAUGUGGUUUAAUUCGAUGAUACGCGAGGAACCUUACCAGGGCUUAAAUGUAGUGGGACAGGUCUAGAGAUAGAUCUUUCUUCGGACUACCUACAAGGUGCUGCAUGGUUGUCGUCAGCUCGUGCCGUGAGGUGUCAGGUUAAGUCCUAUAACGAGCGCAACCCCUGUCGUUAGUUACCAGCAAUUAAAGUUGGGUACUCUAGCGAGACUGCCAGGGUUCAACCUGGAGGAAGGCGGGGACGACGUCAAGUCAUCAUGCCCCUUAUGUUCAGGGCUGCACGCAUGCUACAAUGGACGGUACAACGGGCAGCGAUCCCGCGAGGGUGAGCG
RNAcentral lists this ribosomal RNA (351 nucleotides) under uncultured bacterium. RNAcentral describes it as "bacterial SSU rRNA". It matches the Rfam family "Bacterial small subunit ribosomal RNA", at positions 917 to 1269 of the family's 1533-position model. The record is from RNAcentral.